RNAcentral lists this ribosomal RNA (468 nucleotides) under uncultured bacterium. RNAcentral describes it as "partial 16S ribosomal RNA". It matches the Rfam family "Bacterial small subunit ribosomal RNA", at positions 28 to 507 of the family's 1533-position model. The record is from RNAcentral.
GACGAACGCUGGCGGCGUGCUUAACACAUGCAAGUCGAACGGAAAGGCCCUGCUUUUGUGGGGUGCUCGAGUGGCGAACGGGUGAGUAACACGUGAGUAACCUGCCCUUGACUUUGGGAUAACUUCAGGAAACUGGGGCUAAUACCGGAUAGGAGCUCCUGAUGCAUGGUGGGGGUUGGAAAGUUUCGGCGGUUGGGGAUGGACUCGCGGCUUAUCAGCUUGUUGGUGGGGUAGUGGCUUACCAAGGCUUUGACGGGUAGCCGGCCUGGGAGGGUGACCGGCCACAUUGGGACUGAGAUACGGCCCAGACUCGUACGGGAGGCAGCGGUGGGGAAUAUUAUACAGUGGGCGGGAGCGUGAUGCGGCGACGCCGCGUGCGGGAUGACGGCCUUCGGGUUGGAAACCGCUUUCGCCUGUGACGAAGCGUGAGUGACGGUAAUGGGUGAAGAAGCACCGGCUAACUACGUG